This 341-nucleotide RNase P RNA is filed under the name Clostridia bacterium. RNAcentral's name for it is "RNase P RNA component class A". It matches the Rfam family "Bacterial RNase P class A". From Rfam's summary of the family: Ribonuclease P (RNase P) is a ubiquitous endoribonuclease, found in archaea, bacteria and eukarya as well as chloroplasts and mitochondria. Its best characterised activity is the generation of mature 5'-ends of tRNAs by cleaving the 5'-leader elements of precursor-tRNAs. Cellular RNase Ps are ribonucleoproteins. The record is from RNAcentral. Lineage: Bacteria; Bacillati; Bacillota; Clostridia.
UGAGAUAGUUGUGCGCCUGCGGGAAAGAAAUUUCACGAGGAAAGUCCGAGCUUCGCGUAGCGUAGUGCCGGUUAACGGCCGGUGGAGGCGACUCUAAGGAAAGUGCAACAGAAAAUAACCGCAACUUAGUUUGUAAGGAUGAAAAGGCGAGGUAAGAGCUCACCGUCCCUUCGGUAACGCGGGGAGCAGUGUAAACCCCACUUGAAGCAAGAUAGGAGUGUGCAAAAUACGGAGCUAUGACGGGCACACUUGUUUUAUUCGCUUGAGCCGUGCAGUAAUGUACGGCCUAGAUAGAUAGGCGCAUUAAAUGACAGAACUCGGCUUACAGACUGUCUCAAUAU